This 253-nucleotide ribosomal RNA is filed under the name uncultured bacterium. RNAcentral's name for it is "partial 16S ribosomal RNA". It matches the Rfam family "Bacterial small subunit ribosomal RNA", at positions 524 to 776 of the family's 1533-position model. The record is from RNAcentral.
UACGGAGGGUGCAAGCGUUAAUCGGAAUUACUGGGCGUAAAGCGCACGCAGGCGGUCUAUUAAGUCAGAUGUGAAAGCCCGGAGCUUAACUUGGGAAUUGCAUCGGAAACUGGUUGGCUAGAGUCUUGUAGAGGGAGGUGGAAUUCGAUGUGUAGCGGUGAAAUGCGUAGAGAUGUGGAGGAAUACCGGUGGCGAAGGCAGCCCCCUGGGCAAAGACUGACGCUGAGGUGCGAAAGCGUGGGGAGCAAACAGG